AAGACACUAGUAAAAUAGUAUAUUACACCGCCUUGUCAAGGCAGAAUUGUGGGUUAGACCCCCGCGUAUCUUA
This 73-nucleotide transfer RNA is filed under the name Myoxocephalus aenaeus (grubby sculpin). RNAcentral describes it as "tRNA-Asp". It matches the Rfam family "tRNA". Rfam says of the family: Transfer RNA (tRNA) molecules are approximately 80 nucleotides in length. The record is from RNAcentral. Lineage: Eukaryota; Metazoa; Chordata; Actinopteri; Perciformes; Cottidae. RNAcentral also lists the same sequence under 1 other name.